GUUUUCAUUUUCUAUUUUUGAACAGAUGACGGUUGACUUUAGAAGUUCCACUGUACAAUAUAUUAAAAGCAAUAAUAAAAAAAAAAAGAAUCCUACUCUGCCCAGAGAAAGAAUGCGUAGGCGAAGCCAUGUGGAAAACAGUACAGAGUAUGAAUCAAAGUGAUGUAGAAGCAGCGCCACCGUCUUGGAUUUAAAAUCACAGACAUGUGCUUGUGUGUGUGUGUUG
Syngnathus acus (greater pipefish) is the source of this 226-nucleotide long non-coding RNA. RefSeq lists it as uncharacterized. The transcript is spliced from 3 exons. The record is from RefSeq and is a predicted model, not a curated record. Lineage: Eukaryota; Metazoa; Chordata; Actinopteri; Syngnathiformes; Syngnathidae.